GACGAACGCUGGCGGCGUGCUUAACACAUGCAAGUCGAACGGAAAGGCCCUGCUUUUGUGGGGUGCUCGAGUGGCGAACGGGUGAGUAACACGUGAGUAACCUGCCCUUGACUUUGGGAUAACUUCAGGAAACUGGGGCUAAUACCGGAUAGGAGCUCCUGCUGCAUGGUGGGGGUUGGAAAGUUUCGGCGGUUGGGGAUGGACUCGCGGCUUAUCAGCUUGUUGGUGGGGUAGUGGCUUACCAAGGCUUUGACGGGUAGCCGGCCUGAGAGGGUGACCGGCCACAUUGGGACUGAGAGACGGCCCAGACUCCUACGGGAGGCAGCAGUGGGGAAUAUUGCACAAUGGGCGGAAGCCUGAUGCAGCAACGCCGCGGGCGGGAUGACGGCCUUCGGGUUGUAAACCGCUUUCGCCUGUGACGAAGCGUGAGUGACGGUAAUGGGUAAAGAAGCACCGGCUAACUACGUG
This 468-nucleotide ribosomal RNA is filed under the name uncultured bacterium. RNAcentral's name for it is "partial 16S ribosomal RNA". It matches the Rfam family "Bacterial small subunit ribosomal RNA", at positions 28 to 507 of the family's 1533-position model. The record is from RNAcentral.